CCAUUCCUCUCUCAGAUAAUCUACAUUGUCUCCCAUGAGGCAAUCAGGAUUGCCAAGAUAAUCUAAAUUACCACUCAAAAAAUGUGCCAAACGUAGUAACCCAAAUUACCAUAUUAAAUUGCUAACAAUCUGGAUAGAUUGCUGGCUACUAAAUGCAACCUUAGGGAUGGCAAUCGAUCGGAUUGGGCAAUCCAGCAACUGAAAAUCCUACACAC
RNAcentral lists this long non-coding RNA (215 nucleotides) under Elaeis guineensis (African oil palm). Its description in RNAcentral is "long non-coding RNA (EGUI_LNC031452)". Lineage: Eukaryota; Viridiplantae; Streptophyta; Magnoliopsida; Arecales; Arecaceae. The record is from RNAcentral.